Molecule: ribosomal RNA, 478 nt
Filed under: uncultured bacterium
Lineage: Bacteria
Description: partial 16S ribosomal RNA
Rfam family: Bacterial small subunit ribosomal RNA
Source: RNAcentral
AAUCAACGCAGGCGGCGUGCCUAACACAUGCAAGUCGAACGAGAAAGUGGAGCAAUCCAUGAGUACAGUGGCGAACGGGUGAGUAACACGUGACUAACCUACCUUCCAGUGGGGGAUAACCUCGGGAAACCGGGGCUAAGACCGCAUAACCUCGUGAGGUGAGAUUCCUUGCGAGCAAAGGGGUAAGACGCUGGAUGAGGGGGUCGCGGCCGAUUAGCUAGUUGGCGGGGUAACGGCCCACCAAGGCGAUGAUCGGUAGCCGGCCUGAGAGGGCGCACGGCCACACUGGAACGGAAACACGGACCAGACUCCUACGGGAGGCAGCAGUGGGGAAGUUUGCACAAUGGGGGAAACCCUGAUGCAGCAACGCCGCGUGGAGGAUGAAGUCCCUUGGGACGUAAACUCCUUUCGACCGGGACGAUAAUGACGGUACCGGUGGAAGAAGCCCCGGCUAACUCCGUGCCAGCCGCCGCGGUAA